AGUGAACGCUGGCGGUGGGCCUAACACAUGCAAGUCGAACGGCAGCACAGUAAGAGCUUGCUCUUACGGGUGGCGAGUGGCGGACGGGUGAGGAAUACAUCGGAAUCUACUUUUUCGUGGGGGAUAACGUAGGGAAACUUACGCUAAUACCGCAUACGACCUACGGGUGAAAGCAGGGGAUCUUCGGUCCUUGCGCGAUUGAAUGAGCCGAUGUCGGAUUAGCUAGUUGGCGGGGUAAAGGCCCACCAAGGCGACGAUCCGUAGCUGGUCUGAGAGGAUGAUCAGCCACACUGGAACUGAGACACGGUCCAGACUCCUACGGGAGGCAGCAGUGGGGAAUAUUGGACAAUGGGCGCAAGCCUGAUCCAGCCAUACCGCGUGGGUGAAGAAGGCCUUCGGGUUGUAAAGCCCUUUUGUUGGGAAAGAAAAGCAGCAGGUUAAUACCCCGCUGUUCUGACGGUACCCAAAGAAUAAGCACCGGCUAACUUCGUG
RNAcentral lists this ribosomal RNA (492 nucleotides) under uncultured bacterium. RNAcentral's name for it is "partial 16S ribosomal RNA". It matches the Rfam family "Bacterial small subunit ribosomal RNA", at positions 29 to 507 of the family's 1533-position model. The record is from RNAcentral.